UACGAAGGGGGCUAGCGUUGCUCGGAUUGACUGGGCGUAAAGGGCGCGUAGGCGGUUUGCACAGUCAGACGUGAAAUUCCUGGGCUUAACCUGGGGGCUGCGUUUGAUACGUGCAGGCUUGAGUUCGGAAGAGGGUCGUGGAAUUCCCAGUGUAGAGGUGAAAUUCGUAGAUAUUGGGAAGAACACCGGUGGCGAAGGCGGCGACCUGGUCCGAUACUGACGCUGAGGCGCGAAAGCGUGGGGAUCAAACAGG
This 253-nucleotide ribosomal RNA is filed under the name uncultured bacterium. Its description in RNAcentral is "partial 16S ribosomal RNA". It matches the Rfam family "Bacterial small subunit ribosomal RNA", at positions 524 to 776 of the family's 1533-position model. The record is from RNAcentral.